UACGGAGGGGGCGAGCGUUGUUCGGAGUCACUGGGCGUAAAGCGCACGUAGGCGGUGCGGUAAGUCUGGGGUUAAAGGCUACGGCUCAACCGUAGUAAGGCCUCAGAUACUAUCGUGCUAGAGUGCCGGAGAGGGUAGCGGAAUUCCCUGUGUAGCGGUGAAAUGCGUAGAUAUAUGGAGGAACACCGGUGGCGACAGCGGCUCUCUGGACUGUAACUGACACUGAGGCUCGAAAGCGUGGGUAGCAAACAGG
RNAcentral lists this ribosomal RNA (253 nucleotides) under uncultured microorganism. Its description in RNAcentral is "partial 16S ribosomal RNA". It matches the Rfam family "Bacterial small subunit ribosomal RNA", at positions 524 to 776 of the family's 1533-position model. The record is from RNAcentral.